RNAcentral lists this transfer RNA (76 nucleotides) under Yarrowia sp. B02. RNAcentral's name for it is "tRNA-His". It matches the Rfam family "tRNA". Rfam says of the family: Transfer RNA (tRNA) molecules are approximately 80 nucleotides in length. Their secondary structure includes four short double-helical elements and three loops (D, anti-codon, and T loops). Further hydrogen bonds mediate the characteristic L-shaped molecular structure. tRNAs have two regions of fundamental functional importance: the anti-codon, which is responsible for specific mRNA codon recognition, and the 3' end, to which the tRNAs corresponding amino acid is attached (by aminoacyl-tRNA synthetases). tRNAs cope with the degeneracy of the genetic code in two manners: having more than one tRNA (with a specific anti-codon) for a particular amino acid; and 'wobble' base-pairing, i.e. permitting non-standard base-pairing at the 3rd anti-codon position. The record is from RNAcentral. Lineage: Eukaryota; Fungi; Ascomycota; Dipodascomycetes; Dipodascales.
GCCAUCAUAGUAUAGUGGUUAGUACACCACGUUGUGGAGGACCGUGGAAACCUCAGUUCGAUUCUGGGUGAUGGCA